GCUCUCUUUACAGGAAGUGUUUAUGGAAGGCUGUGCAAGUCACAUGCAGGGAGGUGUGGCUAGGGUUCAUAAACAAAGGGAUUUAACUCCUAAAUGGCAGAGGAUUGAGCAGUGAGGCUGCAGGGGCAUGUUCUAUACACCAAAACUGUUUCAUUAAGCUGAAGUUGUUCAGGUGACUAUAGUGUCCCUUUAAACCAAAGCAAUGAUACUAACUUUGCUUGCACAUAUAAUUACUUGUAAAUAAUGCCAAUAAUACACACUCAAUUGUUUAGCCACUAAAAGCAAAU
Non-coding RNA from Pelobates cultripes (western spadefoot toad), 287 nucleotides. NCBI's taxonomy places the organism in Eukaryota, Metazoa, Chordata, Amphibia, Anura, Pelobatidae. The record is from the annotation of a GenBank genome assembly.